This 500-nucleotide ribosomal RNA is filed under the name uncultured bacterium. Its description in RNAcentral is "partial 16S ribosomal RNA". It matches the Rfam family "Bacterial small subunit ribosomal RNA", at positions 30 to 523 of the family's 1533-position model. The record is from RNAcentral.
AUUGAACGCUGGCGGCAUACCUUACACAUGCAAGUCGAACGGCAGCACGGGGGCAACCCUGGUGGCGAGUGGCGAACGGGUGAGUAAUACAUCGGAACGUACCAUUGAGUGGGGGAUAACUAUCCGAAAGGAUAGCUAAUACCGCAUAUUCUCUACGGAGGAAAGCAGGGGAUCGCAAGACCUUGUGCUCUUUGAUCGGCCGAUGGCGGAUUAGCUAGUUGGUGAGGUAAAGGCUCACCAAGGCAACGAUCCGUAGCGGGUCUGAGAGGAUGAUCCGCCACACUGGAACUGAGACACGGUCCAGACUUCUACGGAAGGCAGCAGUGGGGAAUUUUGGACAAUGGGGGCAACCCUGAUCCAGCCAUGCCGCGUGAGUGAAGAAGGCCUUCGGGUUGUAAAGCUCUUUCGGCCGGAAAGAAAUCGCAUUGGCUAAUAUCUAAUGUGGAUGACGGUACCGGAAUAAGAAGCACCGGCUAACUGCGUGCCAGCCGCCGCCGUAA